CGGGAAAAGCUCAAAUUUAAAAUCUGGCAGUCUUUGGCUGUCCGAGUUGUAAUCUAGAGAAGCAUUAUCCGCGCUGGACCGUGUACAAGUCUCCUGGAAUGGAGCGUCAUAGAGGGUGAGAAUCCCGUCUU
RNAcentral lists this ribosomal RNA (131 nucleotides) under Laccaria sp. RNAcentral's name for it is "partial large subunit ribosomal RNA". It matches the Rfam family "Eukaryotic large subunit ribosomal RNA", at positions 99 to 227 of the family's 3401-position model. The record is from RNAcentral. Lineage: Eukaryota; Fungi; Basidiomycota; Agaricomycetes; Agaricales; Hydnangiaceae.